UUCCGGUUGAUCCUGCCGGACCUGACUGCUAUCGGAUUGAUACUAAGCCAUGCGAGUCUUUGUAGUAAUACAAGGCAGACGGCUCAGUAACGCGUAGUCAACCUACCCUAUGGACGGGAAUAAUCUCGGGAAACUGAGGAUAAUACCCGGCGUACCACCAUUCCUGGAAUGGUUGGUGGUUAAAAUGAUUCGUCGCCGUAGGAUGGGACUGCGACCUAUCAGCUUGUUGGUGAGGUAAAGGCCCACCAAGGCGAUUACAGGUACGGGCUCUGAGAGGAGAAGCCCGGAGAUGGGUACUGAGACACGGACCCAGGCCCUAUGGGGCGCAGCAGGCGAGAAAACUUUGCAAUGUGCGAAAGCACGACAAGGUUAAUCCGAGUGAUUUCUGCUAAAGGAAUCUUUUGCCAGUUCUAAAAAUACUAGUGAAUAAGGGGUGGGCAAGUUCUGGUGUCAGCCGCCGCGGUAAAACCAGCACCUCAAGUGGUCAGGAGGAUUAUUGGGCCUAAAGCAUCCGUAGCCUGCUCUGUAAGUUUUCGGUUAAAUCUAUAUGCUCAACGUAUAGGCUGCCGAAAAUACUGCAGUGCUAGGAAGUGGGAGAGGUAGACGGUACUUGAUAGGAAGGGGUAAAAUCCUUUGAUCUAUCGAUGACCACCUGUGGCGAAGGCGGUCUACCAGAACACGUUCGACGGUGAGGGAUGAAAGCUGGGGGAGCAAACCGGAUUAGAUACCCGGGUAGUCCCAGCUGUAAACGAUGCAGACUCGAUGAUGCAUUGGCAUAUAGCCAGUGCAGUGUCGCAGGGAAGCCGUUAAGUCUGCCGCCUGGGAAGUACGUACGCAAGUAUGAAACUUAAAGGAAUUGGCGGGGGAGCACCACAAGGGGUGAAGCCUGCGGUUCAAUUGGAUUCAACGCCGGG
Molecule: ribosomal RNA, 914 nt
Filed under: uncultured marine archaeon
Lineage: Archaea
Description: bacterial SSU rRNA
Rfam family: Archaeal small subunit ribosomal RNA
Source: RNAcentral